GGAGGGGUGUCUGAGUGGUUGAAAGAACCGGUCUUGAAAACCGGCGUGCCGCAAGGUACCGGGGGUUCGAAUCCCUCCCCCUCCGCCA
RNAcentral lists this transfer RNA (88 nucleotides) under Verrucomicrobia bacterium ADurb.Bin070. RNAcentral describes it as "tRNA-Ser". It matches the Rfam family "tRNA". From Rfam's summary of the family: Transfer RNA (tRNA) molecules are approximately 80 nucleotides in length. Their secondary structure includes four short double-helical elements and three loops (D, anti-codon, and T loops). The record is from RNAcentral. Lineage: Bacteria; Pseudomonadati; Verrucomicrobiota. RNAcentral also lists the same sequence under 2 other names.